This is a long non-coding RNA of Dermochelys coriacea (leatherback sea turtle), 2738 nucleotides long. RefSeq lists it as uncharacterized. Lineage: Eukaryota; Metazoa; Chordata; Testudines; Dermochelyidae. The record is from RefSeq and is a predicted model, not a curated record. The transcript is spliced from 3 exons.
AAAUUUAUCUUCUAGUUGCACAGAGAAUGUGUACCAGAGCUUUCGGCUGUUCAUAAAUUUGUAACAGCACCUUCUUCCAGGCAAAUAUUAAAUAUCUUCCCCUACUGUGUUAGAGAUCUCUUUCCAUUUUUUAUCUAACAUAAAAAAUGAAUAAAGAGACUGGUAAGUCUGGUGAGAAGAGGAAGAGGACUGCAGGAGUAGAAAAAGAUCUGUCCAUGUUGAAAUGAAAACAACUGGAUAGCACCCCCGACAAAGUAUUGAAGACUCGGAGUGAACUUCCACCAAAAGAGAAGCCAUCUACGUUCAAAAAAGCCUUUCAAGACUCUUUGCUUCAAGAAGGUAAAUACAAAGACUGGCUGCAGAAAGUAGAAAACAAUAGUUUUUUAGCUUAUUGCAAAUGUUGUGAUGUAAAAAUCCAGGCAGGUACUCGUGAGUUAGAUAAGCACGUUAAUGGUAAAAAACAUAAACAAAAGAUUGAGACAGUAUCUAAUACAAAGAAAAUUGACGAUAUGUUUAAUAAACAAGAUUGUGAAAUUAAAAAAGCACAAAAAUUUGAAGAGCAAGUUAAAGAUGCAGAGAUUAGAAUGGCCUGUUACUUUGCUGAACAUGUCAGUAUUCAAUCUGGAGAACACUUGACUGAAGUAGUUAAAAAAUGUUUCCCUGAUUCCAAAAUUGCUGAGGCUGUAACAUUAAAGAAAGAUAAAUGCACUGCUAUAAUUAGCAAUGUUUUAGCAAACUGAGACUGAGGAACUUGUAGAAAAAUAGAAAGUUAAUGAAUUUAGUGUAUUUGUGGAUGAAUCUACUUCAGGGAAUAAAUAUCUCAUUGUUGUGCAGUAUGUUAAUCGAUCCAAUGGCAAAAUUACUUCACAAUUGUUAGAAUUAUUAGAACUUGACCCCAAAAAUUGCACUGCAGAGGGGAUUUACACUACUUUUAAAGAGUCUAUAAUGGAGAAAAAUAUUCCUUUGAAUAAUAUUUUAGGUGUAGCCUGUGAUGGUGGCAGUGUAAUGAUCGGGCCAAAGAACUCAGUUUUCUCUAAACUGAGAGAAGAUGUUCCACAGAUAGUUUUAGUCAGGUGCAUUUGCCAUACAUUGACUCUGAUUUCUAGUUCUGCUGCAAGUGCUUUACCUAAUUUUGUGGAGCAAUUUAUAUCAGAUAUGACUAACUAUCCUGCACAUAGUGUAAAAAUGAAAGAAGAAAUUCAGAAGAUGGUGGAAUAUUUUCGAAAGAUCAAAUUAGGAAUGUUAAAAUGAAGUUUAACCAGAUGGUUAGCUUUACACCCAUGUGUUAAUAGAGUUUUGAUCUUAUGGGACACCCUGUUUAACUAUAUUCAAUUUGAUUAUCAAUUGCAAAAGCCCUAAAGCAAAAUAUAUUUAUGAUAUAAUGUGCAAUCCAGAACUUAGAGCUUAUUUGUUCUUUUUGAAAUAUGUUUUGGAUUAUAUGAACAAAUUCAAUGCUCUUUUCGAAAGCACAAAACCACUGAUUCAUGGCAUCAGACCGGAAUCUGUGAAACUUUUUAAGCUUAUAGCAGCAAAUUACUUAAAGCCAAAUUUACUGAAUGAAGAACUAUUAAAAAUUAAUGUAGCACAUCCCUCAAUUUUUUAAAAAAUUGAAGACAUUUACAUUGGGCCGGAAUGUGAAAACUACUUAAAAUCUGUUGAUCCAAACUUAGCUUUGAAUGUCAGAAAGAAUAUCCUACACUAUUACAUCACUUGCUGUCAAGACUGCCACUUGAUUCUGUUGUUUUCACAGAAGUUCAAUUUGUAGAUCCUGCAAUAUACCUUAAUGUUAAUGUUGCCAAAGAGAAAAAAGAUAUCACUAAGCUUUGUGCCAUAUUUAAGGUUGAUUUCAAUGCUGCUCAGAGUGAACUCAGAGCCCUGCCAUUAUCUCUUGAAUUAAAUGAAAUUGCAAUUUUAAAAAGCAAACCAAUUGAUGAAAUGUGGCAAGAGAUUUCACAAAUCAAAGAUUAUUCAGGUCGAUUCAUGUUUUCAAAUAUAUCUGAACUGGCUAAAAAGUUUUUCACAUUACCGCAUUCAAAUGCAGCACGUGAAAGAAUUUUUUCCAUGGUAACUGACCAAAAAAACAAAAAAAGAAACUGUAUGACAAACAAAAACACUCAAUUCUAGUAUAGUUAUAAGGUCAGCUUUGAAAGCAAAGCAAGAGAAAUGUUCUAAUUUUGUAAUUACUAUUAAGUACUUGUAUUUACAUUGUAAAAAUAUGUAGAGUAAAAAUGACAGUGAUAGAACUAGUAAAAAUAUUAAUGAUGGUAAAGAUGUUCCUAGUGACAACUCAGACCAUUAGUCAGAAAAUGGAUAAAACUCAGAGAUUAUAAUAAUAAGGAAAAUUAUAUAAAAGAGUGUUAUUGUUCUUUCUGUUUGCUUUUUUAUCUUAUUUUAUAAUCAUAUGUUUACUUUUUAUUUUUUCAAAGUAACUUUGAUGUUCAGUACACUGCAGGGCACAUGGUGUACUUAUUAAUAGUUUUGUUUUUAAAAUAGUGAAAUUUGUGUAAAAUACAUUGUUUUCUAUCAUUUCACUCCUUCUCCUCAUGUGUAAAAUAUUUUAUUUACUGUAUAAGUAACAUAAGUUUAAAAUUGAAAAACAUGUCUAUAGGUAUAAAAAUUAUAAAUGUGAAAUAUCUCAAACGAAUAAGAAUAAUUUUGGGUAUAAUAUAUAUUAUAUAGUUAUUAAAAACACACAUAUUACGUUCCUUUGAGAUUUUGAAAUAAAAAACUUUAUCUGG